AGUUAAUGUAGCUUAAAAAAUAAAGCAAGGCACUGAAAAUGCCUAGAUGAGUAUAUUUAACUCCAUAAACA
Molecule: transfer RNA, 71 nt
Filed under: Hydropotes inermis (Chinese water deer)
Lineage: Eukaryota; Metazoa; Chordata; Mammalia; Artiodactyla; Cervidae
Description: transfer RNA-Phe
Rfam family: tRNA
About the family: Transfer RNA (tRNA) molecules are approximately 80 nucleotides in length. Their secondary structure includes four short double-helical elements and three loops (D, anti-codon, and T loops).
Source: RNAcentral